UAGUCCACGCCCUAAACGAUGUUAACUCGAUGUUUGGCCCUUGCGGUUGAGCAUCCAAGCGAAAGCGUUAAGUUAACCACCUGGGGAGUACGUCGGCAACGAUGAAACUCAAAGGAAUUGACGGGGGUCCGCAUAAGCGGUGGAGCAUGUGGUUUAAUUCGAUGAUACGCGAGGAACCUUACCAGGGCUUAAAUGUAGUAUGACAGGACUAGAGAUAGUUUUUUCUUCGGACAUAUUACAAGGUGCUGCAUGGUUGUCGUCAGCUCGUGCCGUGAGGUGUCAGGUUAAGUCCUAUAACGAGCGCAACCCUUGUCGUUAGUUGCCAGCAUGUAAAGAUGGGGACUCUAACGAGACUGCCGGUGCAAACCGUGAGGAAGGUGGGGAUGACGUCAAAUCAUCACGGCCCUUACGUCCUGGGCCACACACGUGCUACAAUGGUAUGGACAAUGAGCAGCCACUAUGCGAAUAGGAGCGAAUCUAUAAACCAUAUCACAGUUCGGAUCGG
Molecule: ribosomal RNA, 505 nt
Filed under: uncultured bacterium
Lineage: Bacteria
Description: bacterial SSU rRNA
Rfam family: Bacterial small subunit ribosomal RNA
Source: RNAcentral